RNAcentral lists this ribosomal RNA (465 nucleotides) under Vreelandella stevensii. Its description in RNAcentral is "partial 16S ribosomal RNA". It matches the Rfam family "Bacterial small subunit ribosomal RNA", at positions 338 to 795 of the family's 1533-position model. Lineage: Bacteria; Pseudomonadati; Pseudomonadota; Gammaproteobacteria; Oceanospirillales; Halomonadaceae. The record is from RNAcentral.
CCUACGGUGCGCAGCAGUGGGGAAUAUUGGACAAUGGGCGAAAGCCUGAUCCAGCCAUGCCGCGUGUGUGAAGAAGGCCUUCGGGUUGUAAAGCACUUUCAGUGGGGAAGAAAGCCUUGGGGCUAAUACCCUCGAGGAAGGACAUCACCCACAGAAGAAGCACCGACUAACUCCGUGCCAGCAGCCGCGGUAAUACGGAGGGUGCGAGCGUUAAUCGGAAUUACUGGGCGUAAAGCGCGCGUAGGCGGUCUGAUAAGCCGGUUGUGAAAGCCCCGGGCUCAACCUGGGAACGGCAUCCGGAACUGUCAGGCUAGAGUGCAGGAGAGGAAGGUAGAAUUCCCGGUGUAGCGGUGAAAUGCGUAGAGAUCGGGAGGAAUACCAGUGGCGAAGGCGGCCUUCUGGACUGACACUGACGCUGAGGUGCGAAAGCGUGGGUAGCAAACAGGAUUAGAUACCCCAGUAGUC